This is a long non-coding RNA of Bradysia coprophila, 291 nucleotides long. The record is from RefSeq and is a predicted model, not a curated record. NCBI's taxonomy places the organism in Eukaryota, Metazoa, Arthropoda, Insecta, Diptera, Sciaridae.
UUAUGAAACAAACUAUUACCACUAGUUGCGAAAAGCAGUUGCGGUUAGCUGUUAUCGUGUAUAUUUAUGCGAAAUCGGUCAAUAAAAACGGAAAUGUUUGAUGAACUGAACACAUAUUUAUUUCAAGAUAGUUCGUAUUUCAAAGCACAACAAUCUUAAACGGAGCUACCUAAACAUUCACUUGGGUUAUUUUGAUUUCAACACAACCGAGUUCGUUAUAAAUUGCACUAUUUACACAACAUUUUGCACGGAUAUUAAUUUCCAUAUUCACCAACGAAUUGAAUUAUUUAA